AUAUCUUGAAGGACUAGCUGGCACAACCAUGUCGACCAUGACACGGGAGAAGGCAAAGGUUUCUCUGGCAAAGGUUUCUCUGGCAAAGGUUUCUGUGGCAAAGGUUUCUCUGGCAAAGGUUUCUUUGGCAAAGGUUUCUCUGGCAAAGGUUAAACCCCAGCAAACCCCCAGGCGGCGCGGAGAUAGAGAGUUUAAAUCUAUAAUAAGUGACAUUACUAAACAAAUAAGUCAUAGUUUCUUUAGAAUAUCGACUGACAUAUAAUUUUAAUUUUAUUUAAACUAUUUAUAUGGUAUAUUUUUAAAUUAAUACGUAAAUUAGAAGAAAGAUAUGCGAUAUUAUUUCUACCAACGAUUUGGUACAUCUUGUUCUUUCGGCAACUAUCGAAUUGUUAGAUAUUGUGAAUACAACUUGUAUAUAAGUCUAUUAAAAUGAA
Temnothorax curvispinosus is the source of this 434-nucleotide long non-coding RNA. RefSeq lists it as uncharacterized. NCBI's taxonomy places the organism in Eukaryota, Metazoa, Arthropoda, Insecta, Hymenoptera, Formicidae. The transcript is spliced from 3 exons. The record is from RefSeq and is a predicted model, not a curated record.